RNAcentral lists this ribosomal RNA (492 nucleotides) under uncultured bacterium. Its description in RNAcentral is "partial 16S ribosomal RNA". It matches the Rfam family "Bacterial small subunit ribosomal RNA", at positions 29 to 507 of the family's 1533-position model. The record is from RNAcentral.
AGUGAACGCUGGCGGUAGGCCUAACACAUGCAAGUCGAACGGCAGCACAGUAAGAGCUUGCUCUUACGGGUGGCGAGUGGCGGAUGGGUGAGGAAUACAUCGGAAUCUACUUUUUCGUGGGGGAUAACGUAGGGAAACUUACGCUAAUACCGCAUACGACCUACGGGUGAAAGCAGGGGAUCUUCGGACCUUGCGCGAUUGAAUGAGCCGAUGUCGGAUUAGCUAGUUGGCGGGGUAAAGGCCCACCAAGGCGACGAUCCGUAGCUGGUCUGAGAGGAUGAUCAGCCACACUGGAACUGAGACACGGUCCAGACUCCUACGGGAGGCAGCAGUGGGGAAUAUUGGACAAUGGGCGCAAGCCUGAUCCAGCCAUACCGCGUGGGUGAAGAAGGCCUUCGGGUUGUAAAGCCCUUUUGUUGGGAAAGAAAAACAGCAGGUUAAUACCCCGCUGUUCUGACGGUACCCAAAGAAUAAGCACCGGCUAACUUCGUG